GCCGGCCUGGUCGUCCUCUGGAGUGACACCAGCCAUCUGUUGUGCCUUCCAGUUGCCCUCCGGAGAGACACCAGCCGUCUUUCCUGCCACCCAAGUGACUAUGCCCAUUGGUCUAGCCCCCGGGCCAUCCACUUGAGGUCUCCCUCUCUGCCCCUGUCCUGUCCCCAGGCCGCUUGCUCCUCUGCCCUUCUACACACCUGCCCUGUAUCAACCUCAUCAGCCCUGCCCUGCUCCCAGUGUUUUCCCCAGCCAAUCAGCUCCUUUUCUGUUCUCCUGUCACAUCACCUUAUUCUUCUCACCUGAGUUUCUCCGCCCAUCACCUGCACCUCAUCUCCUCAUUAGUUCAGUCAGUAUUUUAGUUCUGCGUUUCAGUUCAUUCUUGUUUGUUCAUUUGUUUUAUUCAAUUUUACUUUGUCUGCAUGCCUGAACCUCAAAUAAAAUGAUCUUUUCAGUUCCUGCUACUCUUCAUGACAGAAUGAUCCAGCCACACAGACCCAGAGGAAGAUCUUCAUGAGGUGACAGGUUAACUGUUGUGCCAUCACACUGACUUGAAGUAUGCCUCCACUAAUGAGGACAGAGAGGAGCAUGCACCCCAAACUACUAGCAAGCAGCCUUCACUCCAAUCCAUCAGGCUUGGGUUUGUGAGCCUGUAUAUACAACCUGCCUGUCCUGAUCCUGCAUUCCCUUAACCCCAUGAGACUAAGCUCCCGACGCCACUCGCUCUCUCAGCAUCACCACAGAGUCUCUGCUGCCCACCAGAUCCAGAGCGUGUCCAGAUGGCUCCCAUUGAUCUCCAGUCUUUGCCCAUAGGCCCCCAAUGCCGGCUCCAUCCAGGCCAGCCCAAGCUCCAGUCCUCAUCAUGCGGGUGUGAACCCAGCCUGCUGCUCCAGACCAGUGGGCACCCCAGUAGCCUUUCUCCCAGUCUGCUAGCUUUGACUCUGCUAGUCACCAGCCUGACUUCAAGACCACUAGCCUCCAGUCUACAUCUGCCCCUGAGUCAGAGCCUUCUGCCUGGUCAUUCCCCUCCAAGUCCAGCCCCAGUCUCUGCGAACACUGUGAACAGUAUGAACUGGAUUCACUCAUGGACCCAGCAGAGAUACUGAAGGAGCAGUCUCCUGUUUCCCUGGCUCCACUGGCUCCACUGGCUCCACUGGCUCCACUGGCUCAACUGGCUCAACUGCCCGUCUUCCAGCCUCCGGACUCCGGUCCUGCAUUCCAGCCGCCAGACUCCGGUCCUGACCGCCAUGCAUCGGCCGCACCUUCCGAUGCCCUGCCAGACCUUCAGCAGUUGAACCAUCCAUGUCAACCUCCUGCCUUGUCUUCAGCAGUCGGCUGCCCCUGCUGACGCCCAGCCAGACCUCCAGAGGGAUAGGUGGAUGGACUUCCUCUGCAAAUGAUAACAGCUCCAAUGACCCGUGUGAAGAGCAGGGAGCUGCGUUUGAAGCAAGCACAAGAAUGGAAAUUGGCUGGUGAAAAGUUUGAUGUGUUCUUCACGGAUGAAUCAACAGUGGCAUUGGAGCAGUUUGAACUACAGUGCUACAGGAAGAAAGGCUUCACUGGCAUCAAGAAAUCAUGCAUCAAGCAUCCAGUGAAGCUUCAAGUUUGGGGAGGAAUUUCACAUCAAGCAACAGGAACAUUGUUGAUUUUUGAUGAGAAGUAUGAAUCAGCACUUUCAUGAGGAAGAGAUAAUCAAAAAACUGACUGGGCCAUAUUUAAGAGACUUUCUUCAUGCUAACGCAUUGUUUCUCCCACGGUCGCCUGAUCUGAACCCAUUGAACUUGUCUGGCAUGCCCUGAAAGACUUUGUCCGAUGUGAAGCCAAGUCACACAACAUGGAGGAACUAAUUGCUGCAAUAGAGAUGUUCUGGACCAACAAACUCACCAGAGAGGCUUGCAACAACUACACAGACCAUUUGGACAAAGUCAUCCCACACAGCAUUGUGUUAAAUGGAAUUCCUACUGCCUUAAUACAAAACAUCAUACUCACAGGGUUUGUGGUGCUGCUAGGACACGAGCCAUGUCUGAGGGACAAGCCAUGGAGCUGGCCCAGAUCCCCAAGUGCCUGAGCCACUUGCAGUAUUUGCAAGGUGAAAGGCUUCAUUCUGAACAGGUAAAUCUAACAGUUAAUAAAGUUAAACACUCUGCUUCCAGUGUAUAAGGUCACCUAGCUAAAACUAAUGCAGUCUAAUACAACAGUCCUGUGAACAAAUCCUCCAUUUAUGAAGGUGAUAAUGUUAAGUUUUUGUUUAAACCUUUUCAGUGUUGUUUCAAAUCUAUGAUCAUUUUGGAGGCUCCAGAUUGUACUACUGUUGAAAUGUAUUGUACUAUACUGACAGGAAUUUCUAAUCUUGUGUCCACCUCAUUAUGUCGUUGAGGUUAGGCUAAAUAACAGAAAACACCGCUCUUCAUAAUGAAAUAUAGUUCAGCAGUACCACAAACUACAGCCUCCAAAAUGACCAUACAGUUAUGCAGUUUCAUAAUGGAAACAGCAUUGUGAACAUUUGUCUUUGUAUUCAUUCUUACAUACUUGUAAUUUUGACUCAAUCGUCUUCACUUUGUUUUGCACUACAUUGUAAUAACAGAUUGCACCUCACAGUUAUCUAAUAUUUCAUGAUAAUUGUUUUGGCUAAAAACAACACAUAUUGUACCUUGUUUUUUCUGAAAUCAUUGAAAAAGGCACCGCAUUGUGAUACAACAUUAUUACAGCACUCAAAUAACUCAGAGCUGAAUCAUGAGCUCUCACAGGGUCAGCCAGAGUCAUGAAGCUUUAAAAACUGUUUCACAUUGAAUUGCUUUGUAUCACAUUGUACUGCUUAAAACUUGCAACUAUGUGUCAUAACAUUACCACAGUUAAAUACCUAUAAAUACAAAAGC
This is a long non-coding RNA of Thunnus maccoyii (southern bluefin tuna), 2873 nucleotides long. RefSeq lists it as uncharacterized. The transcript is spliced from 7 exons. NCBI's taxonomy places the organism in Eukaryota, Metazoa, Chordata, Actinopteri, Scombriformes, Scombridae. The record is from RefSeq and is a predicted model, not a curated record.